AGCGAACGCUGGCGGCAGGCUUAACACAUGCAAGUCGAGCGGGCAUCCUUGUGGUGUCAGCGGCAGACGGGUGAGUAACGCGUGGGAACGUGCCCUUCGGUUCGGAAUAACUCAGGGAAACUUGAGCUAAUACCGGAUACGCCCUUUUGGGGAAAGGUUUACUGCCGAAGGAUCGGCCCGCGUCUGAUUAGCUAGUUGGUGAGGUUACGGCUCACCAAGGCGACGAUCAGUAGCUGGUCUGAGAGGAUGAUCAGCCACACUGGGACUGAGACACGGCCCAGACUCCUACGGGAGGCAGCAGUGGGGAAUAUUGGACAAUGGGGGCAACCCUGAUCCAGCCAUGCCGCGUGAGUGAUAACAGCCUUAGGGUUGUAAAGCUCUUUUCUCCGGGACGAUAAUGACGGUACCGGAGGAAUAAGCCCCGGCUAACUUCGU
RNAcentral lists this ribosomal RNA (435 nucleotides) under uncultured bacterium. RNAcentral's name for it is "partial 16S ribosomal RNA". It matches the Rfam family "Bacterial small subunit ribosomal RNA", at positions 29 to 506 of the family's 1533-position model. The record is from RNAcentral.